GAGUUUGAACCUGGCUCAGGAUGAACGCUGGCGGCGUGCCUAAUACAUGCAAGUCGAGCGAACCACUUCGGUGGUGAGCGGCGAACGGGUGAGUAACACGUAGGUGAUCUGCCCAUCAGACGGGGACAACGAUUGGAAACGAUCGCUAAUACCGGAUAGGACGAAAGUUUAAAGGUGCUUCUGGCACCGCUGAUGGAUGAGCCUGCGGCGCAUUAGCUAGUUGGUAGGGUAAAGGCCUACCAAGGCGACGAUGCGUAGCCGACCUGAGAGGGUGAACGGCCACACUGGGACUGAGACACGGCCCAGACUCCUACGGGAGGCAGCAGUAGGGAAUCUUCGGCAAUGGGCGAAAGCCUGACCGAGCAACGCCGCGUGAAUGAUGAAGGCCUUCGGGUUGUAAAAUUCUGUUAUAAGGGAAUAACGACUUUAGUAGGAAAUGGCUAGAGUGUGACGGUACCUUAUGAGAAAGCCACGGCUAACUACGUGCCAGCAGCCGCGGUAAUACGUAGGUGGCGAGCGUUAUCCGGAAUUAUUGGGCGUAAAGAGCGCGCAGGUGGUUGAUUAAGUCUGAUGUGAAAGCCCACGGCUUAACCGUGGAGGGUCAUUGGAAACUGGUCGACUUGAGUGCAGAAGA
This 634-nucleotide ribosomal RNA is filed under the name uncultured bacterium. RNAcentral's name for it is "bacterial SSU rRNA". It matches the Rfam family "Bacterial small subunit ribosomal RNA", at positions 9 to 655 of the family's 1533-position model. The record is from RNAcentral.